UCUGGGAUGGGGCGAUGGCGUUCAAGAAGACAUAUUUAAGAGUACUAUGUAAUUUUACGUGUGGGAAGAACCUUUUGUUUUUGUAAUUAGAACUACAGAAAGGGACAGAGCUGUUUAUGUCAUGAAAAGCAGGCCUGAGCAUUAGAAGACUGAGAAACACCUGGGAGGAUCUUGUUUCAACAGAGCUCAAAGCCGUGGCAAAAGGACGGAGCUCGAAUUGUGCAAUUAAACCCAGGCCCCCAGCAAAUGGAAAAUGCCAUCCACUGGCACAGAGACUUCAGUUGGGAGCCGAGGACUGAACUCAGACCACCAUUCUUUGUUCAACAUUUCUUCCUGAGGGGCCUGGAGGAAGUCACACCCACAGGCCAGAGCUCAACAUUCCUUUCUGCUGACCCCAGGCACCAGUCCAUGGCACUCCCUAUGCCUGCAGGAUACCACAUCAAAGCAGAGUUGGGGGAGCAUUUCAGGAGGUUCCUGUGAAAAACCUACAUGCACACACCCCCACGUGCAGCUGCAGACUGCUAUCUAUACACGAAGUUAUGCAUCGCAGAGUCGACUGCAAAAGGCUGGAGCCCACAC
This is a long non-coding RNA of Homo sapiens (human), 579 nucleotides long. RefSeq annotates it as PNPLA1 antisense RNA 1. The transcript is spliced from 4 exons. The record is from RefSeq and is a predicted model, not a curated record. Lineage: Eukaryota; Metazoa; Chordata; Mammalia; Primates; Hominidae.